Molecule: ribosomal RNA, 447 nt
Filed under: uncultured bacterium
Lineage: Bacteria
Description: SSU rRNA
Rfam family: Bacterial small subunit ribosomal RNA
Source: RNAcentral
AGAACGAACGCUGGCGGCAGGCUUAACACAUGCAAGUCGAACGCUCGUAGCAAUACGGGAGUGGCAGACGGGUGAGUAACGCGUGGGAACAUACCCUCCGGUUCGGAAUAGCUCAGGGAAACUUGGAUUAAUACCGGAUACGGCUGCGAGGCGAAAGAUUUAUCGCCGGAGGAUUGGCCCGCGUUCGAUUAGCUUGUUGGUGAGGUAACGGCUCACCAAGGCGAUGAUCGAUAGCUGGUCUGAGAGGAUGAUCAGCCACAUUGGGACUGAGACACGGCCCAAACUCCUACGGGAGGCAGCAGUGGGGAAUAUUGGACAAUGGGCGCAAGCCUGAUCCAGCCAUGCCGCGUGAGUGAUGACGGCCUUAGGGUUGUAAAGCUCUUUUGGCGGGUACGAUGAUGACGGUACCGCAGAAUAAGCCCCGGCUAACUUCGUGCCAGCAGCCGC